RNAcentral lists this ribosomal RNA (63 nucleotides) under Staphylococcus aureus. Lineage: Bacteria; Bacillati; Bacillota; Bacilli; Caryophanales; Staphylococcaceae. The record is from RNAcentral.
UCUGGUAGCUAUAGCAAGGAGGUCACACCUGUUCCCAUGCCGAACACAGAAGUUAAGCUCCUU